AAAACUUUCAACAACGGAUCUCUUGGUUCUCGCAUCGAUGAAGAACGUAGCGAAUUGCGAUAAGUAAUGUGAAUUGCAGAUACUCGUGAAUCAUUGAAUUUUUGAACGCACAUUGCGCCCUUGAGCAUUCUCAGGGGCAUGCCUGUUUGAGCGUCAU
Molecule: ribosomal RNA, 157 nt
Filed under: Hanseniaspora uvarum
Lineage: Eukaryota; Fungi; Ascomycota; Saccharomycetes; Saccharomycodales; Saccharomycodaceae
Description: 5.8S ribosomal RNA
Rfam family: 5.8S ribosomal RNA
About the family: 5.8S ribosomal RNA (5.8S rRNA) is a component of the large subunit of the eukaryotic ribosome. It is transcribed by RNA polymerase I as part of the 45S precursor that also contains 18S and 28S rRNA. Functionally, it is thought that 5.8S rRNA may be involved in ribosome translocation.
Source: RNAcentral